GACGAACGCUGGCGGCGUGCUUAACACAUGCAAGUCGAACGGUAAGGCCCUUCGGGGUACACGAGUGGCGAACGGGUGAGUAACACGUGGGUGAUCUGCCCUGCACUUCGGGAUAAGCCUGGGAAACUGGGUCUAAUACCGGAUAGGACCACUGCCUGCAUGGGUGGGGGUGGAAAGCUUUUGCGGUGUGGGAUGGGCCCGCGGCCUAUCAGCUUGUUGGUGGGGUGAUGGCCUACCAAGGCGACGACGGGUAGCCGGCCUGAGAGGGUGACCGGCCACACUGGGACUGAGAUACGGCCCAGACUCCUACGGGAGGCAGCAGUGGUGAAUAUUGCACAAUGGGCGCAAGCCUGAUGCAGCGACGCCGCGUGAGGGAUGACGGCCUUCGGGUUGUAAACCUCUUUCAGCACCGACGAAGCGCAAGUGACGGUAGGUGCAGAAGAAGGACCGGCCAACUACGUGCCAGCCGCCGCAGUAA
This 478-nucleotide ribosomal RNA is filed under the name uncultured bacterium. Its description in RNAcentral is "partial 16S ribosomal RNA". It matches the Rfam family "Bacterial small subunit ribosomal RNA", at positions 28 to 523 of the family's 1533-position model. The record is from RNAcentral.